This 341-nucleotide ribosomal RNA is filed under the name Isochrysis galbana. RNAcentral's name for it is "partial Bacterial large subunit ribosomal RNA". It matches the Rfam family "Bacterial large subunit ribosomal RNA", at positions 1991 to 2331 of the family's 2925-position model. Lineage: Eukaryota; Haptophyta; Isochrysidales; Isochrysidaceae. The record is from RNAcentral.
CACGAAUGGCGUAACGACUUCCCCGCUGUCUCCAACGUAGACUCAGCGAAAUUGAAUUCCCCGUGAAGAUGCGGGGUUCCUGCGGCUAGACGGAAAGACCCCGUGCACCUUUACUACAGCUUCACAGUGGUGUUAGUGACGGCAUGUGUAGGAUAGGUGGUAGGCUUUGAAACUUGGGCGCCAGCUCAGGUGGAGCCACCCUUGAAAUACCACCCUUAUCUUCAUUGACAUCUAACCGCGGCCCGUUAUCCGGGUCCGGGACCCUGUGUGGUGGGUAGUUUGACUGGGGCGGUCGCCUCCCAAAUAGUAACGGAGGCGCGCGAUGGUAGGCUCAGACCGGU